UGAGGAGUAUUGGUCAAUGGGGGCAACCCUGAACCAGCCAAGUCGCGUGAAGGAUGAAGGUCUUAUGGACUGUAAACUUCUUUUACACGGGAAUAAAGUGGGGGACGUGUCCCCCUUUGCAUGUACCGUGUGAAUAAGGAUCGGCUAACUCCGUGCCAGCAGCCGCGGUAAUACGGAGGAUCCGAGCGUUAUCCGGAUUUACUGGGUGUAAAGGGUGCGCAGGCGGAUGGGUAAGUCAGGGGUGAAAGUCUGCAGCUUAACUGUAGAAUUGCCUUUGAUACUGCUCAUCUUGAGUGUGGGAGAGGUUGAUGGAAUUCCGGGUGUAGCAGUGAAAUGCGUAGAUAUCUGGAAGAACACCAGUGGCGAAGGCGGUCAACUGGCCCAUAACUGACGCUCAUGCACGAAAGCGUGGGGAGCAAACA
This 422-nucleotide ribosomal RNA is filed under the name uncultured bacterium. RNAcentral's name for it is "bacterial SSU rRNA". It matches the Rfam family "Bacterial small subunit ribosomal RNA", at positions 355 to 774 of the family's 1533-position model. The record is from RNAcentral.